This 836-nucleotide long non-coding RNA is filed under the name Pongo abelii (Sumatran orangutan). RNAcentral's name for it is "lincRNA". The record is from RNAcentral. Lineage: Eukaryota; Metazoa; Chordata; Mammalia; Primates; Hominidae.
CUUGGAAUGCUCUACAAGAUUUAUAUCAACUGUAGGUUGAAAAAUCCUACUUAUCCACUCUCCUUACUUUAGAGAUGAGGAAUUUGAAUCUUAGAGAGUUUAUGACUUACCCAAUUGGUGGUAUUACUGAAAACCAAAAGCCAGUUUGCUUCCUAGUUGAAUUUUCUUUCCAUCAUGCCAUGUGGAGUUAUUUUGAGUCAACCAGAAAAUCUGCAAGGACAUCAAAAUAAUGUUCUUUCUCCCUCUGACCUCAGUAAUAACUGGUUAAAGAUUUAGAAUGCUUUAGAGUAAAUCCUCAAAGCAGCUGCAGGUCCUCAAUGUUCCAGAAUAGAUAUUUUAAGUUCUCCAAAUAAAAAAUCCCAAUAAAGACCUUCUUUUUGCAGUAACUAAAAAAGUUUCCAGCUCUCCUGUCACAAAGUGGCUAUUGAGACUUCAAAUGUCAGAUGAUCUCCUUUGAAGCAGCAAAAUAGAGUGGAUAGAACUCCAGGAUGGAUGUCAAAAAACUCUGUGAUCCUAGUUCUAACUCAAAUUUACCUUUUACAUGGUAUGAGGUUGGCAACAAAUGAUUCAUGGACCACCACUCAUCUGCAGACCAGACAUUAAUAAGAUGUGCUUGCUUCUCCUUCGCCCUUCACCAUGAUUGUAAGUUUCCAGAGGCCUCCCAGUCAUGGUUCCUGUUAAGCUUGCAGAACGUGCACACAACCUGGAGCAAAGAGACGUCAACGUAGACUUGAGAGCCUCAACAAACAUCUACACAUUCAAAAUUCAGAGAAUAAUUGCAGACUUACACGUUAAAUGAUGCCACAGGCUUAUGGUGAAUGUACAAAUCUAAUUCC